UACGAAGGGUGCAAGCGUUGUUCGGAAUUAUUGGGCGUAAAGGGUUCGUAGGCUGGAAGCCAAGUCAAUUGUGAAAUCCCCGAGCUUAACUCGGGACGUGCAGUUGAAACUGGUUUUCUUGAAUAUCGGAGAGGGUAGUGGAAUUGCUGGUGUAGGAGUGACAUCCGUAGAGAUCAGCAGGAACACCAGAGGCGAAGGCGACUGCCUGGCCGAUUAUUGACGCUGAGGAACGAAAGCGUGGGGAGCAAACAGG
This 253-nucleotide ribosomal RNA is filed under the name uncultured bacterium. RNAcentral describes it as "partial 16S ribosomal RNA". It matches the Rfam family "Bacterial small subunit ribosomal RNA", at positions 524 to 776 of the family's 1533-position model. RNAcentral also lists the same sequence under 1 other name. The record is from RNAcentral.